CAAUAGCGUAUAUUAAAGUUGUUGCAGUUAAAAAGCUCGUAGUUGGAUUUGUGGCGUACGGUGUGUUCCGGGCACUUGUUGUCUGAGUAACCUGCUGUUGCCAUCCUUGGGUGGAACCUGUGUGGCAUUAGGUUGUCGUGCAGGGGAUGCCCAUCAUUUACUGUGAAAAAAUUAGAGUGUUCAAAGCAGGCUUAUGCCGUUGAAUAUAUUAGCAUGGAAUAAUGAGAUAGGACUUUUUUGCUAUUUUGUUGGUUUGCGCAAAGAGGUAAUGAUUAAUAGGGACAGUUGGGGGUAUUCGUAUUCCAUUGUCAGAGGUGAAAUUCUUGGAUUUUUGGAAGACGAACUACUGCGAAAGCAUUUACCAAGGAUUUUUUCAUUAA
RNAcentral lists this ribosomal RNA (380 nucleotides) under uncultured eukaryote. RNAcentral describes it as "partial 18S ribosomal RNA". It matches the Rfam family "Eukaryotic small subunit ribosomal RNA", at positions 592 to 976 of the family's 1831-position model. The record is from RNAcentral.